This is a long non-coding RNA of Numida meleagris (helmeted guineafowl), 4023 nucleotides long. RefSeq lists it as uncharacterized. The record is from RefSeq and is a predicted model, not a curated record. Lineage: Eukaryota; Metazoa; Chordata; Aves; Galliformes; Numididae. The transcript has 9 exons.
AGUAGACAAAUAAGAUUACGUUUUCUCUACACAGGCUUGCAGGCCUUUUUUUCUUUUUUCUUUUUGCCAGCAGAUGCACCUGGGGGAGGAGACGGUGAAGAAGAACUCUGAUUGCUUAGCAUCAGCCUCGACAGCGGAGAUGGCAUGGUGCUCGGUAAGUGAGGAGAGCUGCCAGGGAACACGCGCCUACUGUGCACAGAAUGCAAGUUCCCACACUGUGGAAUUACUGUUUUCUCAACAAAUACUUGUCACAAUCAAGUAAACGUUGCAUGCACACACAGGUGAAACUCAAGGCAUCUUUUCCAGAGUUUCUGUUGCAAAAUGAACGAUGUCUUUGCUACCAUUGAGGCUCAUGAGAAAUACAAGUGUUUCAGGACAGCAGAAUAUCUUUAAGAAUGCCCUUUGUCGUGCUUUCCUCUAUUUUCUUAGGCCUUUGAAGCACAGCAUGAUGGUAUCAAGCAAGCGCACAUCCACUUCAUUUUGAAUAUCUGAUUUUUCCCUCUGGGGGAGCAGUGACGUGUAUUGUUACGGAGGUUCUGUUUGAAAAUCCGGAGUCAUCGUACACAAGUGGGCAUUUAGAGCAGCAGGUGCAGAGACACUUGCACGCGUGUCAUGCUGCAGAAGGAGAAGCUGGCCUGACCCACUAAUUGCUUCAGCUGCAUCCUCUAAGCUCGUUCCCCAGAAGUUUCCACAAGAUGAGGUGCUAAAGUGGUGCUGUAGUUGCUGGCACACGUCACUUGCUUUCUGGCCAGCAGUCUCUUCUGAAAGUAGAACGUUCAUCCUGUCCAGGAGACGACAGUGCUGCGAACCAGAAAACAGUUGUCAAAAGAAGCUGUUAGAUUUCAGUGCAUCCAGAUGCAUAGGAAAUGCUAACUAUGGGAUAAACUGGAGGCAUAUUCACCACUCAACUGACAAAUGCUCAUCCACGGUGACGCUCAGACUAGCACCCAGUUACCCUGAUGACUACAGGCCUUUCUCUAAGAGAAGCCUAAGGAGUCUCAAGAGAAGGAAAUGCAGGUACAGACAACAGCAGCCCCAGCUGGAUGAGAAACACUGAAAAUCAGUACCUGCUGGCUGCUGGGUGAAACAUAGAGUCAAUGGAAGAAGUGUCCACAUUAAAAAUGAAGAAAAAGCACGUCGGCAAAUUAUUCUUGACUCAUUUCUGCUGUAGAUGACAAGUAAGAAAACAGCACUGCAGAUUUCUGAUGACUGUAAGGCCUUGCCAUCCCACCCCUAAGCCAAGUGUCUCGACUGUGGUUAAAGCAGUUUGAAAUCAGCAACCCUGUUUCCUGUAAACAACUGGCAAAGCAAACACAGAAAGCUACACUGGGGCUGUUUGCUUUUGGACUGGGAGCGGCAGAACAGCAAACAACGCUGAACACAGAAUGUUAACACUCCCACAGAAGUGGUUUCAGAACAAAUGGUAAAAAUGUGUGCAGGUACAGAGACCUGUGGUCACCUCUCAAAGAGAGGCUUUCCCUCCAGUCACCUUCAGCAGAAUCACUGAGAAAAAAAAUUAUUAAAAACCAUUUAAGUUAGAGUUACAGAAGCAGCUGAUGUCACACCACUGAAAAAGCCUCCGUUGCCCGUAAUUGAAAGUACAGAUUGCCCAUAAAAAAACGACAAUUUAUCCAGUUAUUUUUGUCAAAAAGCAAAUGAAGCCUUUAAGCAAUGUUUCCUCUUUACAGUAUAGUUCAAUUUGUACUGAUGUUAUAUUUUUUGUCAGAAAUAUUACUAAUACUUUGAUGACAACUUUACUUUUGUAGACUGAACAAUAUCAUUUCAAUGCUAGCUACAGGAGUGCAAAAUGAAGUGCUGAAUUUUUCAGAAAUUCAGAAUAUAUUUUCAGGAAAUAACUUUUAGGACACUCAUGUUUGUAGCAGAAAUGCUAAGUCAUGGCCUGAAGCAGUGAUGGAGCAGCUGGGGGGAAGGCAGGGCCAGCCAGGGGAGCUCAGGUGCAAGCAAUGCAAUGCAGCUGUGUGACCGGAAGGGGUGGAUCCUGGAUCCCAGGCCUCAUUUAAGGGUUGGCAGUGGAGAGAAGGGUAUCUUGCUAGAGAUCCCUGCGUACCUGAGGCCUUCUGAAGCAGUGUACUAAGGAAGAUGUCUGCUGGCAUAUGGAGUCGAUGAAUCAUGAGAAUAGAAUGGACGAAUUAUGGAACUGUUUUAGGAUAGAGAGCCCUCUGUUCCAAGGAUCUGGGGGAGGAGAAGGGCGUACAUGGAAAAUGUGCAUACACAUGGCAGAGGCUGGAUUCUGAGAGCAAACAAAACCUGACCUUGCUUCCAGAGCUCACUUUUUACACAGUUAACGAGUGCUGCCAUCUUCAAAGCAGUGCCACUCCAGGAAGUAAUGUCUAGAGCACUUUUUCAGAAAGGGAGCCUGGCAACUCCCUUUUCAGGCUCAGAUAUCAACUUGGUAUUGCCAAGACAUUUUACAUCAGUUAAAAUGAUUGUAAUAUUUUGUUGAACUUUCUUAACUACACAGUUAAAACUAUUCAGAAAUCAAUUUUAUAGCUAUUAAUUUUCAGAUUUUGUCUGACUGUAUUACAGCUUCCCUUAUUUGCAGUCUAAGGAAAAUGUCACAAAAAUGACUGGGGCUGAACUCCAGGGCAGUAUUGCUGGUCAUACAGCACAGCCAGAGCUGAAAAAUUCUAAAAAGCAGAGUCAGAGGAACAAAGGAUUUCUGACCAACAGAACCAAUAACUUAAAAUUGUCAUGUCAGAUAACUUCACAGUCUUAUUAUCUGCCAUGGUGUAUGAAGACAUUGAAAUAAAACCUUUGUCUUAACCCAACUAGACAUGACAAAAUAAGAAAAAAAGCUGAGGGAGAAAGUAGUUCACAUGGCAUCAUUUGGUUGUACAGUGAGUAACGCAGCCUAGGCCGCCUCAUUGUCAAUGUAGUGUCCUAUAUUCUAGUGAUACACUAGCUCUCAUGAACAGAAUAAUUAACUGGAGGAGAACAGGAGGCACGUGAUUAGAUCCUACAGCUUUCUAUUAUUUAGGAUGAAUGGAAAUGAAGGGAAACACUUUUAAAAGGGGCAACUGGAAACAUCUUUUUAUGCAGACAAGAUUAGAGUUGGCACAGUCUUCCAAAAAAAAAGAGCUGAAGAGGAAUGCAUUCUGGUCACUCAAGUCAAUAAACCAUCACAUAAUCUGAUAUGAAAGUUGCUGUGUGCCCUUCGCCACAAGAAUCCAAUGCGUUAACCAAGCUGGCAGAAAAGAGCUGGCUGAAGAGGAACAAGCUGUGUAUUUCCACAAGUUGUGUCAUGGAAAAUGAAACAGCAUCGGCUGCGGUGACACACUGAGGAGUGCCAGCUCCCCCGGGGUCACAGAGCAACGCGGUCUGCGUGAAGGCCACGACGUCCCCGCGCGGAGCGUCGGUACGGGAGCUCCCAGGGCAGGGCAGUGCCCAGCAGCGCGUCCCAGCGCUCCUCCUGACUCACAGCCCCACACCCUCGGGCUUCAUUUUGCACGUGCCAUUCCUGUCGUGCGCUAAAGUGAUUCUUCAGGUGUUACAUAAAGAGUAAAUGUCAGCCUUCGUUUUGGUGUGUGCACAUAUUUGUGGGUUAUGUUGUUUAUUCAGUCAGGUUAGCUAAAAAAUGUUGAGGUAUUCACUUUCCUAUGUUGUUGCCAACAAAAAGGAUGACUAAGAUAAAAAUACAAAGGUGUUACUUUUAACCACUCAGUGCCUUCUGUGGGUAUAUUUUGAAGCUACAUAGAACACGGGUUACUAUGUGUUUAAUAAAUCCGGUGGAUUAUCACAGUAAGAAAAAAGAAAGAAAUGGAAAACACGCUAAGCAAGGCGCUCAAUUUCAUUUUCUGCUAUUUUCUAGGUCACCCAAAGGUUGAUUUGUUUGAGAAGCUGAAAGCCUGCGUUUGGUCCUGCAGCACACAGAUGCACUACGCUGAACUGGUUUCGUCAGACCAAGCCUUCUCACUGUAAUUUUUCAGUAAUUGGAUACCUAAGACCAGAGAAACAGAAAAUACACCGUGAUCCAAAAAGAGUAAAGUUGACUUAAGUGAACAA